UCUUGGUUCCGGCAUCGAUGAAGAACGCAGCGAAAUGCGAUAACUAGUGUGAAUUGCAGAAUUCCGUGAAUCAUCGAGUCUUUGAACGCACAUUGCGCCCCCUGGUAUUCCGGGGGGCAUGCCUGUCCGAGCGUCAUUGCUGCCCAUCAAGCACGGC
RNAcentral lists this ribosomal RNA (157 nucleotides) under Aspergillus flavus. Its description in RNAcentral is "5.8S ribosomal RNA". The stretch from base 1 to 136 matches the Rfam family "5.8S ribosomal RNA", at positions 19 to 154 of the family's 154-position model. From Rfam's summary of the family: 5.8S ribosomal RNA (5.8S rRNA) is a component of the large subunit of the eukaryotic ribosome. Lineage: Eukaryota; Fungi; Ascomycota; Eurotiomycetes; Eurotiales; Aspergillaceae. The record is from RNAcentral.